This 5431-nucleotide long non-coding RNA is filed under the name Manihot esculenta (cassava). RNAcentral describes it as "long non-coding RNA (MESC_LNC005020)". Lineage: Eukaryota; Viridiplantae; Streptophyta; Magnoliopsida; Malpighiales; Euphorbiaceae. The record is from RNAcentral.
UAAUCCCUCAUCUUCACUUUUAUAUAAGCCUUUUAUUAAAGAAAAAAAAAUUUGUGUGUUUAUCAUUUAUAUAAAAAAAAUCUCCCUGCAGAUGAUAACUGAUGCGAUUGUGAUACUGAAAGAGAGGACUGGAUCGAGCCAACAUGCGAUCACUAAGUUCAUCGAAGAGAAGCAAAAGAAGUUGCCUUCGAAUUUUAAAAAGCUUUUGCUGGUUCAAUUGAAGAGACUUGUUGCCUCUGGCAAGCUCGUCAAAGUGAAAAAUUCGUACAAGCUUCCCCCAACUCGCGCUGCUCCGGCCAAAAAACCAGCCGAUGUGAAGCCCAAGGUUGCAACCACCAAGCCAAAAACUGCAAAAGUUGUUGCGAAGCCCAAAGCCAAGGUGGCGACCAAGCCAAAGGCAAAAGCACCUGUGAAAGCUAAGCCAGCAGUGAAGCCGAAGGCUAAGCCAACAGUGAAGCCGAAGGCUAAGCCAACAGUGAAGCCGAAGGCUAAGCCAACAGUGAAGCCGAAGGCUAAGCCAACAGUGAAGCCGAAGGCUAAGUCGGCAGUGAAGUCGAGGGCAAAGCCGAAAACUUCGGCCAAGCCAGCUAAGGUGGCGAAAACUGCUGCCAAAACUUCGGCAGGAAAGAAAACGACGAAGAGGGCGAAGAAAUGAGGUUUGGUCUUGAGUUGGGUAUCUGCAUAUAGGCGCAGCGAUGUAAAUUUGUUGUUUGAUAGUUGCAGGUUGUAACAGAGCUGUUUUGUUUAUGUUACUUUUUCUUAAUUUCUAAAGAAAUUUAAUAGAUUUCAAUUUCAUUAAAUUUGCCCGUCAAUGGCGUUUCAUUUAUCAUACUGUGGGAGUAGAAUAGCGCACUUUAGGUUGGACUCGAUUAUAAAUGAAAUUACCAGACCAGGUAAUUUCUUGGUUUGGUAUUUCCUUUUUAUAUCAUAAGAAAUGCAAUUCAAAAAAUUUAAAUAAUUUUUUAUAAAAUUAUUUAUGAUUUUAUUCUUAUAUAUAAAUAAAAAAAUUUAUUGAAAUAAAAAUUUAAAAAAAAUAAUUCCAUGAAAAAUAGAAUAAUAAAAUCUCUUUUUAUAUUUUAGUCUUUUAAUUUAAAGAUAUUUUAGUGGCACUUAAAAAAAAGAAAAAGAAAAAGUAGUGUCCUGAUCUAGAACAGAGCAUCUGUAAAUUUAGUAAUAACUCAAUAUUCAUUCAUUUCAAUUCAACAAUUACACCCCAUCUCUGCAUAAUCUUCACAGCAAAUACAACGAAAAAAAACACACAAUUAAGCAGACAAUCAAAUAAGAUUACUUGUCUUAUCUUCUCCAAUUUCUUGAAGCUUUGAGCGGAACCCAUCACUCUUUAAUCUAGUCUCUCCCGUUUGGACGAGGUGACGGUAAUGAUAAUAAAAAAAAAUCUGAGAGAGGCAAAUGAGGACAAAGAAGAAGAAAAAGAGGAGGAAGACAAUGAGUUAGUGGGAUGAAGAUGGAGGACCAUAGAAGAAGAAGAAGAAGAAGUGAAGGAAGAGGAAGAAUAAGAAUUGAAAGAGUUAAUGGAAAGAUAAAUGAAAUGAGCAGUACAAUGAAUUAAGUUUCCUUAAGAUUAUAUAUAAUGUCGAUUAGAUUUCACCGGUUUCAUUUUUUAUUUAAAUUAAAAGUUAUUUAAAAUUUUAUUAAAUUCCUCAAUUAAAAAAAUAUUUAUUACUUUUCAUUUAAAAUUAAAAAAAUUUAUUAAUAAUUAUAUAAAAAAAAAUUAAUUAGUAAAUGUUUUAUAAAAGUGCGGGUCUGAAUUUAUUUUUCAAAUUAUAUUAAUUAAUUAAUAAAAUAUUUAAUAGUUAAAAAUAAUAAAAAAUUAAUUAGUAGAUUUUUUUAAAAUUUUAAUAUAUUAAUAUAUUUUUAAAAAACUGACAAACUAACUAAUUUAAUAACUAUAAAUUAAAUAAUAAUUUCAGAGCUAAGCUAAGGGAAGAAGAAAAUAAAGACUGCCUAUUACGAGAGCCCUUUUUUUGUCACAAAGAUAGUGAUUUAAUGAAAAAUAAUAAUAAUUCGGUCGAUCCAUGUGGUAUUAUAAAUAUAAAUUUUAAAAAUAGUACAAAUUAGUUUUCUUUUAAUUUAAAGUUUAAAUAUUAAAAAAAUAUAAAAUGCUCUCAAUAUAAAAUAAUUAAUUAAUAAACUUUUUUUAAAAAAAUAAAUACAUUUGAAUGUAGUUUUUAAAAUUAAAAUCAAUUAUUAAUGAAUUUUUUCAUACCAACUAAAUAAUAACUACUUAAAUAAAACUAAAGGAACGAUUAAUUAUUUAAUUCUAUAAAAUAUUAGAAGUGGUUUUCGACUAAUAAAUUUACUUAUAAUACGGAAACUAUAUAGUAAUUUUUUUUAUUUAUUAAUAUGGAUAGAAUAAAAGAAUUUAGAAAUAAAAGUGAAUAUAAAAAUAGUCUACGGAGUUACAAACAAUAAAAUUUCAAAACUCCAGAAGUUAAUUCUAUAUCGGUUUGGAAUAAAGAUAAUGUCUCUUAUAAUAGUUUUAGGCACUUUUCAAGUUAAUUUUUGAGGUGAGUUAGAUACUAUUUAAAUUUAACAUGGUAUCAGAGUCUUCCAAAUUUUGAGAUAAAAAUAAUAUGUCUCUCUUAUAAGGAUUUUAGAUCCAAGUUUGUGAAAUAUAGUUGUGCUAACUUUAAAUUCUUAAUAAUAGAGGUGAAGUUACCAUUUUUCAGUAAAAAGAUAUAUUUGUUUUGCAAAAAUCAUAUGGUGUGAGAUGAGUAAUUGGUCUAAAAUAUUCAAAUUUCAAUUUAACACCAUUCAAAGUCAUUUGGACGAAGAAAAAAGCCCCUUAGACCAACUUUUCGAUGAGUUUUUUUGGCAUAGAAAUGAUAUGGAUGUGCCAAGAUAGACUUUAGAUACUUGUUCUCUAAUCUAGGUAUUAAAGUUUCUACUAAAAGAGCAGUUUUUAAUAGUUAUGAAGUUUUUAUAGAGGUAUUUACGAGAUAAAGAUAGAGAUUAUAUAUUAUUUUUAUUUUAACUAGAUAUUAUAUUUAUUUAGAUAGUUAUGAAAAAUGUGGUUAUCUAGUUAGUUACAUAAAAUAUAUUAUUCCUUAUCAGAACCAUAUAAUUUGAACUUGAUAACCUAUAAGAUAUUUGCUUUUGAAAAAUAAAACCUAUAAAAUAUCAAACCCUCUAUUAUUAAAACAUGUCUAUAGUCGACCAGAUCAGAAAAUCGACCUUGUCAAAGGUCGAGCAGGCGGAGCACGACCUAAUACAAUAAGGAGAUACGCGCAAAUCACCAACAUGAUGGUCGACUCUCUUAGCCGACGUCGAGAUCUUAAAUGUACGUGCUGCGAAUUUGACUAAUGUGACACUGAUGAAAGGAUAGGAUAUGGAGAAACUAAUUCCGCAUUUAUUAGUCGAUUGUUUACUGUUAAUGAGCAUAAAUUUGAGUAUGGAAUAAAGAUAAAACAUGAGGUAAUAAGAGUAUAAAUUUAAUUACCUCACCAUGAAUUAAUAAGAGCAUAAGUUUAUAUUUGCAUGUAAAAUUAUGUAUUUAUUAAAUACACUUAAUUUAUUCUGCAUAAAUCUCAAUAAAAACACUCAACCUAAUUAUUGUUAAAACUCGUUUUGAUAUCAACGCGGAUUUAUGUUAGGUUCACCCUAAUUGAAUAAUCAAAAUGGAAGGGAGGCAUGAAGAAUUAAGUUGUAUGGUGCUCACAAAAGGUUGAGUUCUUAAUUUUAGAAAAUAUACAUGUACUAGUAUAUCCAAUAAUUCAUGAAUAAUCACUACGUUUACAGUAAAAUUUUACCUAACCAUCAUUAAUUUUACUAAUUUUCUUUUCAUACUAGUAGAGCAUGUUGUUUAAUUUAGAGAGCCAAAAAGUUGAAGACCAUCAUCAAAAUAAAAAAAUAAAUUUCUACCAUUCGCUCUAACCCUCAUUGAUAAGAGUUUUCCUAUAUUAAAAUUUUAAAAAUUAAACAUAUACAUUGGAGUAACAUGUAGCAAUGUAACCCUAAUUUCAUUUAUAUUUGUAGGUAAUAAUUUUAGAACAUGCAUUGUAAUACUGCUAUAUAUAUGGUGUGCUCAAUGUCACAAAACUAUCACACCUUAUUAAGUAUGUUCAAAUUGAAUCACUUUCAAAUCAAAAUUUCACUACCCAUUUCUUAACCAAAUUUCAUGAUUCUUUAACCAAUAAACUCCUCUACAAUGCUAGUAUCAUAUACCUCAAAAAAAUUGCAAUUUACUUACAAGAUACUUUAAAUAAUCCCUUAAAAUCUCAGCUAACUUAUCGAAAACCCUAAUUUUGACCAUUUCACAUUCAAAUCCGAAAUUCUCCCUGUUCUCUGCACCAAACAGCCUGAAUAAACACUCCUUGGAAAGCUGACGUCCUAAUCUAAAAACCCUUUAAAUCUCAUUAAAAUCCAUUAACCACAUACUAAUCUACGUCCAUUAGAAUUCUGCUCAAAAACACACUUGAAAGUUGAAGCCCCAUCUCAUUCCCCUCCAUGUGGAGCUAUUAUCCCAGCGACACUAUGAUCCGCAUCUUUACUAAGCAUUUAUUCUCGACCGUGAAAAAGUCUCCAAUCCAACGGUCCAUAUUCAAAAUUUCUAAAAUGCCUACCGAUCCGUGUCAAAUUACUUUCCACCAAUCACAAUCCACGACUCUUCCCUAUAAAAUCCUUUCUCUCUCUUGAUGUUACAUUAUAUCCAAUUUUCCCUCUCUGCUAUUCUUGCACAAGUACUCUCUGUCUCUCCAAGAGUUUCUCUGGUUUAGAGUAAUUUCAAUUUAUAGGAAUGGCCGACUCUGAAGUUCAGGCUCCUGCUGUGCCGGCGGUGGCCGAUACGAAGUCCAAGAGAGCCAGCACAAAGGCCACCGCGGCCAAGGCCAAUGCUCCAAAAGCCAAGAAGGCAACAGUGGAGAAGAAGGCCAAGUCUCCUCGCGCUUAUCCUUCUUUCCUUGAGGUAAUCCUUUUUCUUUACUUUAUGAUUAUAUAAACCUAUUUUAAAGAAAAAUAAUAUUUUGUGUUUAUCGAUUUAAUGAAAAAUCUCUAUGCAGAUGAUAACUGAUGCUAUUGCUACAAUGAAAGAGAGGACUGGAUCUAGCCAACAUGCAAUCACUAAGUUUAUCGAAGAGAAGCAAAAGAAGUUGCCUUCAAAUUUUAGAAAGCUUCUGCUGGUUCAAUUGAAGAGACUUGUUGCCUCUGGCAAGCUCGUUAAAGUGAAAAACUCGUACAAGCUUCCCCCAACUCGCUCUGCUCCGGCUAAGAAACCAGCUGAUGUGAAGCCUAAGGUUGCGGCCAGCAAGCCAAAAACUGGAAAAGUUGUUGCGAAGCCCAAAGCCAAAGUGGCAACCAAGCCAAAGCCAAAAGCACCUGUGAAAGCUAAGCCGACUGCCAAGCCGAAGGCUAAAACAGCAGUGAAGCCGAAAGCUAAGCCAGCAGUGAAGCCGAAAGCUAAACCAGCAGUGAGGCC